This 468-nucleotide ribosomal RNA is filed under the name uncultured bacterium. RNAcentral's name for it is "partial 16S ribosomal RNA". It matches the Rfam family "Bacterial small subunit ribosomal RNA", at positions 28 to 507 of the family's 1533-position model. The record is from RNAcentral.
GACGAACGCUGGCGGCGUGCUUAACACAUGCAAGUCGAACGGAAAGGCCCUGCUUUUGUGGGGUGCUCGAGUGGCGAACGGGUGAGUAACACGUGAGUAACCUGCCCUUGACUUUGGGAUAACUUCAGGAAACUGGGGCUAAUACCGGAUAGGAGCUCCUGCUGCAUGGUGGGGGUUGGAAAGUUUCGGCGGUUGGGGAUGGACUCGCGGCUUAUCAGCUUGUUGGUGGGGUAGUGGCUUACCAAGGCUUUGACGGGUAGCCGGCCUGAGAGGGUGACCGGACACAUUGGGACUGAGAUACGGCCCAGACUCCUACGGGAGGCAGAAGUGGGGAAUAUUGCACAAUGGGCGGAAGCCUGAUGCAGCAACGCCGCGUGCGGGAUGACGGCCUUCGGGUUGUAAACCGCUUUCGCCUGUGACGAAGCGUGAGUGACGGUAAUGGGUAAAGAAGCACCGGCUAACUACGUG